ACCUCAUCUAUAACAAACAAAAGAAAAAACCCUAAUCGCUGUCUAUACCUCACUCUCAGUCUCAUCUCAUCUCAUCUCAUCAUUGUCUCUCUCACUCUCUCGUUUCGUUGUUCAUCUUCAUCUUCUGCACCGAUCGGCGAUCACUCUCAUCUCAUCACUGUCUCUCUCACUCUCUCUUUGUUCAUAUCAUCGCACCGAUCGUCUCACUCUCUCAUCGCACCGAUCUAUUCACGGGGCUGUUGAUCACCAAUAUGAGGGUAAUAUCUUUGCCACAGAUGGAGCUCAAGUAGAUAUAUGGGAUCAUAAUAGGUCCCAGCCUGUGAAUAGCUUUGAGUGGGGAAAAGACAUAGUUAUAUCUGUUCGAUUUAAUUCUAGGAAACCAAAUAUCUUGGCCACAUCAGCUAGAUUCUUGGAGGUAUCUGGGAAAAUAAAAUUAGUGGGAAACUAGUAUUGGGUUUUGGAGUGAUCUGGUCGUCAGCUACAACAGUUUUGACACCUAUUGCUGCCAGAGUUGGGCUUCCUUUCUUGAUUGUCAUGUGUGCCUUUAUGGGGAUU
Non-coding RNA from Camellia sinensis, 555 nucleotides. The record is from RefSeq and is a predicted model, not a curated record. NCBI's taxonomy places the organism in Eukaryota, Viridiplantae, Streptophyta, Magnoliopsida, Ericales, Theaceae.